This 21-nucleotide small nuclear RNA is filed under the name Arabidopsis thaliana (thale cress). RNAcentral's name for it is "snRNA_00223". Lineage: Eukaryota; Viridiplantae; Streptophyta; Magnoliopsida; Brassicales; Brassicaceae. The record is from RNAcentral.
UUCCUGCCACAUCUCUGAAGC